CCUACGGGGGGCUGCAGUCGAGAAUCUUCCGCAAUGGACGAAAGUCUGACGGAGCGACGCCGCGUGGAGGAUGAAGUGCUUCGGUAUGUAAACUCCUUUUGCCAGGGAAAAAGUUAUUGAUUGUACCUGGAGAAUAAGAGGUUGCUAAACUCGUGCCAGCAGCAGCGGUAAUACGAGUGCCUCGAGCGUUAUCCGGAAUCAUUGGGCGUAAAGGGUGUGUAGGCGGCUUCGUUAGUCUCGCGUAAAAUCUACCGGCUCAACCGGGAGUCCGCGCGGGAAACGGCGAGGCUGGAGGACGGUAGGGGUCACUGGAACUCUAGGUGUAGCGGUGAAAUGCGUUGAUAUCUAGGGGAACACCAAAAGCGAAGGCAAGUGACUGGACCGCUCCUGACGCUGAAACACGAAAGCGUGGGUCGCGAAUGGGAUUAGAUACCCCAGUAGUC
RNAcentral lists this ribosomal RNA (443 nucleotides) under uncultured bacterium. Its description in RNAcentral is "bacterial SSU rRNA". It matches the Rfam family "Bacterial small subunit ribosomal RNA", at positions 338 to 795 of the family's 1533-position model. The record is from RNAcentral.